This 353-nucleotide long non-coding RNA is filed under the name Glycine max (soybean). Its description in RNAcentral is "long non-coding RNA (GMAX_LNC002216)". The record is from RNAcentral. Lineage: Eukaryota; Viridiplantae; Streptophyta; Magnoliopsida; Fabales; Fabaceae.
UCUCAUCUCCCUUUUCCAAAAGAACAAAGGACUAACCGCCUAAAUUCUUUUGUGUCUCCCUUCUCCCUUGUCAAAGAAUUCAAAACGAUACAGUUUGAGAAUUCUUUUGAUUCUUCCCAUUCCCUUAUACAAAAGUGUUCAAAUGACUAACUGCCUGAGAAUUCUUUUGUAUCCCAAUUCACAAAGUAUCAAAGAUUUAACAGCCUGAGAUCUUUGUCUCAACACAUUGGAGGAUACAUCCUUUGUGGUACAAGUAGAGGGUACAUCUACUUGGGUUUGACUGAGAACAAGAGAGGGUACAUCUCUUGUGGAUCAGUUUUAGUGGAGGGUACAUCCACUAGGUUCAAAGAGAA